This 463-nucleotide ribosomal RNA is filed under the name uncultured bacterium. Its description in RNAcentral is "partial 16S ribosomal RNA". It matches the Rfam family "Bacterial small subunit ribosomal RNA", at positions 28 to 523 of the family's 1533-position model. The record is from RNAcentral.
GAUAAACGCUGGCGGCGUGCUUCAGGCAUGCAGGUCGAACGGACCUUCGGGUCAGUGGCGGACGGGUGAGUAACACGUAAGCAACCUGCCCAGAAGUGGGGAAUAACCCACCGAAAGGUGAGCUAAUACCGCAUGUGAUGUGUCCUCCCUGGAGGGCCCAUUAAAGGCUUUGGUCGCUUCUGGAGGGGCUUGCGUUCGAUUAGCUAGUUGGUGGGGUAAUGGCCUACCAAGGCUGCGAUCGAUAGCUGGUCUGAGAGGACGGACAGCCACACGGGGACUGAGAUACGGCACCGACUCCUACGGGAGGCAGCAGCUAGGAAUCUUGAGAAUGGGCGAAAGCCUGACCCAGCAACGCCGCGUGGGCGAUGAAGGCCUUCGGGUCGUAAAGCCCUUUUGAGGGGGACGAUGAUGACGGUACCCCUCGAAUAAGCCACGGCUAACUACGUGCCAGCCGCCGCAGUAA